GGGAUGAUGGUGGAACUGGUAGACACAACAGACUUAAAAUCUGUCGCUCGAAAGAGCAUCCGGGUUCGAUUCCCGGUCAUCCCACCA
Molecule: transfer RNA, 87 nt
Rfam family: tRNA
About the family: Transfer RNA (tRNA) molecules are approximately 80 nucleotides in length. Their secondary structure includes four short double-helical elements and three loops (D, anti-codon, and T loops).